Molecule: ribosomal RNA, 369 nt
Filed under: uncultured bacterium
Lineage: Bacteria
Description: bacterial SSU rRNA
Rfam family: Bacterial small subunit ribosomal RNA
Source: RNAcentral
GAAGGGGGCUAGCGUUGUUCGGAAUUACUGGGCGUAAAGCGCGUGUAGGCGGUUGUCCAAGUUGGAUGUGAAAGCCUUGAGCUCAACUCMAGAAAUGCAUUCAGGACUGGAUGACUAGAGGACCGGAGAGGAUAGUGGAAUUCCCAGUGUAGUGGUGAAAUACGUAGAGAUUGGGAAGAACACCAGUGGCGAAGGCGGCUAUCUGGACGGUUUCUGACGCUAAGACGCGAAAGCGUGGGGAGCAAACAGGAUUAGAUACCCUGGUAGUCCACGCCGUAAACGAUGGGUGCUAGACGUUGGCGAGCUUGCUCGUCAGUGUCGCAGCUAACGCGUUAAGCAYCCCGCCUGGGGAGUACGGCCGCAAGGUUG